RNAcentral lists this ribosomal RNA (559 nucleotides) under Saccharomyces cerevisiae (brewer's yeast). RNAcentral's name for it is "LSU rRNA". It matches the Rfam family "Eukaryotic large subunit ribosomal RNA", at positions 62 to 634 of the family's 3401-position model. Lineage: Eukaryota; Fungi; Ascomycota; Saccharomycetes; Saccharomycetales; Saccharomycetaceae. The record is from RNAcentral.
AAACCAACCGGGAUUGCCUUAGUAACGGCGAGUGAAGCGGCAAAAGCUCAAAUUUGAAAUCUGGUACCUUCGGUGCCCGAGUUGUAAUUUGGAGAGGGCAACUUUGGGGCCGUUCCUUGUCUAUGUUCCUUGGAACAGGACGUCAUAGAGGGUGAGAAUCCCGUGUGGCGAGGAGUGCGGUUCUUUGUAAAGUGCCCUCGAAGAGUCGAGUUGUUUGGGAAUGCAGCUCUAAGUGGGUGGUAAAUUCCAUCUAAAGCUAAAUAUUGGCGAGAGACCGAUAGCGAACAAGUACAGUGAUGGAAAGAUGAAAAGAACUUUGAAAAGAGAGUGAAAAAGUACGUGAAAUUGUUGAAAGGGAAGGGCAUUUGAUCAGACAUGGUGUUUUGUGCCCUCUGCUCCUUGUGGGUAGGGGAAUCUCGCAUUUCACUGGGCCAGCAUCAGUUUUGGUGGCAGGAUAAAUCCAUAGGAAUGUAGCUUGCCUCGGUAAGUAUUAUAGCCUGUUGGGAAUACUGCCAGCUGGGACUGAGGACUGCGACGUAAGUCAAGGAGGCGGCAAAUU